ACUGCUCAGUAACACGUGGAUAACCUGCCCUAAGGAAGGGGAUAACCUCGGGAAACUGAGGAUAAUACCCUAUAGGUUACAGACGCUGGAAUGCCCUGUAACCGAAAGUUCCGGCGCCUUAGGAUGGAUCUGCGGCCGAUUAGGUUGUUGUUGGGGUAACGGCCCAACAAGCCGAUAAUCGGUACGGGUUGUGGGAGCAAGAGCCCGGAGUUGGAUUCUGAGACAUGAAUCCAGGCCCUACGGGGCGCAGCAGGCGCGAAAACUUUACAAUGCGGGAAACCGUGAUAAGGGAACCCCGAGUGCCUGUAUAUGCAGGCUGUCCAGGUGUCUAAAAAACACCUGAAGAAAGGGCCGGGCGAGACCGGUGCCAGCCGCCGCGGUAAUACCGGCGGCUCGAGUGGUGGCCACUUUUAUUGGGCUUAAAGCGUUCGUAGCUGGGUUGUUAAGUCUCUUGGGAAAUCUGACGGCUCAACCGUCAGGCGUCCAAGGGAUACUGGCAAUCUUGGAACCGGGAGAGGUGAGGGGUACUUCGGGGGUAGGAGUGAAAUCCUGUAAUCCUCGAGGGACCACCUGUGGCGAAGGCGCCUCACCAGAACGGCUUCGACAGUGAGGGACGAAAGCUGGGGGAGUAAACCGGAUUAGAUACCCGGGUAGUCCCAGCCGUAAACGAUGCGCGUUAGGUGUAUCGGUGACCACGAGUCACCGAGGUGCCGAAGGGAAACCGUGAAACGUGCCGCCUGGGAAGUACGGUCGCAAGGCUGAAACUUAAAGGAAUUGGCGGGGGAGCAC
RNAcentral lists this ribosomal RNA (789 nucleotides) under Methanoculleus sp. enrichment culture clone L55A_11. RNAcentral describes it as "bacterial SSU rRNA". It matches the Rfam family "Archaeal small subunit ribosomal RNA", at positions 85 to 879 of the family's 1478-position model. Lineage: Archaea; Methanobacteriati; Methanobacteriota; Methanomicrobia; Methanomicrobiales; Methanomicrobiaceae. The record is from RNAcentral.